UCCGGUUACCCCUCUACCAGCCGCCACACACCCUGCCGUUGUGGGCACUCUCUCUGGAACCAUAAGUCAAAGUAAACUCUUCGUGAAACUAUCUGCAGAGGAAGCCCUCAGCCACAGGGGAAGAACCAGUGUGGGUGGCUGUGUUGUUUUCCUACUUCUCAAAGAGGCUGGGAGGACGAGAACGGGGAUCCAGCUGAAGCCUCCUGCACCCUUCAAAGCCGUACCUGCUGUGUUCCACCUCUCCUAACAGGUCUUAGAAUGGACUUUAAAGUUCUACAGUACCUUUAUUUGUUAUGGAUGGAUUUGUUGCUGAUACUCAGUGGGCAGUACUCCCUGCCAGCCUUCCCGUUUGGCCGGGCGUGGCCCUGGGAGCAGAAACGAGGAAGAAGCUAUUGGUCUGGAGUGACUUUCAUGUGAUUCCAAUUAGUUCUGGCCCAUGGGCAAGGAUGCGGGGUUGUCUACGAGAUGACAAACUACCAGUGGCCAUACCAGAAAAAAAUGGACCCCUUUUUUUCUCCAGCAGCCAUGAACUGCCAAUCACUCCUCAGCUAGGGGCUGGGCCUCAUGAGGGCCUCUCCGGUGCAUCCUGGAAUCAAGGCUGGCUUGCUUGAUCACGUGUAGGUAACCAAAGAUCCUGUGAGUUCACGUCACACAUGGAAGACAGCAUUUCACAGCACUCUUCUCCCUCCCAGCUCUGACAUUCUUCCCAGCCACUCUCACGUAUGAUUCCUGAUACAGAUGCCUCAGUUGGAAGUGAGCACCCGACAGUCGCUUAUCCUCAGCCCUACAGUAGUAACCUGUUAAGGAUAGCCCAAAGGAACACUCACUGAGCAAUGCCCAAUGUCCAGUCCAGAGCACCAGGGACAAAGUAAAAACAACACUGGAAAGCCCAAGUGAAAGAAAGGCCCUGUGAAACAGCGCUCAAAGAGCCCUCUCCUCCAAGAAUGCUUCUCUCUGGAGGGCACUGACAUUAUGAAGGGUUGAUACCUAUAAACCAUAAGCACUUAAAAAGUAUGUUUAAAUUACCCCUGAGGUCAUUCUAAGAACAUUGAAAAGCUAAAGGCUAAACAGAGAGAUAAGUGCUAAGGAGAAGGCUCGGUAGGUAGAGGUGCCAGUCAUCCAGCCUGGUCAUCUGAGUUCAGUCUUCAGGACCCGAGUGGCAGAAGGAGAGAACUGACUGGCAUCAGCGGUCCUCCACACACAGGCUGUGACAGGUGUGUGACCCCCUGAAAAUAAACACAUAAAUGCAAUAAUAAUAGAAAAAGAAGCAAGGAGGGAUAACCUGGAAAACAAAACAAAACAAAACAAAACACUUUGACAAGAUCUUUAUCGAACAGCAAUCUCCAAGGUAAAUCAGUCAGUGUAUGUGGGAUGUUCCCUCAGUAAGGGAAUGCGCUGGAAUAGAAAUAAAAUUUUAAGCCCCCA
Psammomys obesus (fat sand rat) is the source of this 1425-nucleotide long non-coding RNA. RefSeq lists it as uncharacterized. The record is from RefSeq and is a predicted model, not a curated record. NCBI's taxonomy places the organism in Eukaryota, Metazoa, Chordata, Mammalia, Rodentia, Muridae. The transcript has 4 exons.